GGGGGACUGCCUGCUGGCCGGGCGCGGUCCGCAGUGCUGGCUCGACUCUUGCGACACCAGAAGGUCACACGCCUCACACCUCCACCCCCGCAGGCCUCGGCCCUUUGGCCCCUGGGCCUGGAGCCUCUCCUGACGGGUUAGCCUCACCCCGCGUCUAAUGCGGGCAGCUUCGUGGAAUGCAAACUCGCGUCGGAGAUCCUGACGGCCUGGCCCCUGCCUCUUUGGCGCCUUACCCUUUUGAAUCGGCUGGAGUUACCCCCUUUGCGUGGCCCUGAUUCCGGCUUCACUGAGAAAGUGAAAAACAUCCAACUCCAGCACCCUCUGCUACGCUUUUCAAAAUGGGGCACUGUAGAAGCCUUCAACCCAGCACCACAAACAGGCACAGACAAAAGCUCCAAGAAAAGCCCUAACCAACAAAUGGAAAAAAGAAUGGCCUAACGAUGAAAACUUUGUUGACAAUAUCCAUCCUACUCCAGCCAAACACAAAAAACUGCAUCCUCUCCCCCUAGCAUGGUAUCAGCAGAGCUGAGCAGGGACUUAAUUUUCCACUCAAUCCCCUUUAAUCCAUGGACAUGGAGGCAGCACUCCAAUUCCUCUGCAGGAUGGUUUUGGCAGGGCUGAGUCAGGAAGCUGAUCUUCCAUCUCCUGCCUGGCAAAAGCAGGUAGUGCUCCAAUUCCCCCAGCAAGUCAUAUCAAACACGUUGAGCAGGGAGCUGAGCUUACAGCCCCAUUAAGAGGCAACAAAACAGUGGGAGUUGGUGGCCCGAUUUCACUGGGAAGUUGUCAGUGGAGCAAGGGGAGUGCUGAACUUCCACCCCACCUAUCUGCAACAAGGCAGUGUGAGUCAGUGCUCCACUUUUGCCAAGGUGGUGUUAGCAGGGCUUAGAGAGAAACUAAACAUACAUACCCAGCCGCCCAUAUGCUAAAUAUCAACAGGGGACUGCCUGCUAAAGAAAAAGGAAAAAGAAGACGAAGAUGAAAUGUGAUCUAGAGCUUUGUUAAUAUGCUAUCAAGAAUGUCCACUAUACAAAUUUUUUAAAAUUACUCAUCCAACAACCAGGAAAAUCACAACAUGAAUGAGAAAAGACAGUCAAUAGAUGCUAACAAUGAGAUGAAUCAAAUGCUGGAAUUAUCUGAUAAUUAUGUUAAAGCUAUCAAGAAAAUAGUUCAAUCGUUUACAAACUUUCUUGAAACAAAUUAAAGACAAAUAAUUCAGCAAAGAUAUAGAAAUUAUUAAAAGAAUGAAAUGGAAAUGAUAGAACUGAAAAAUACGUAAGUAAAAUUAAAAAUUUGCUGUUUGGGCUCAAUAAUAGAGUGAAGAUAGCAGAGGAUAGGAUCAGUGAACUUGAGGAACAGACCAGUAGAACUUACCCACUCUGAACAACAGAGAGAAAAUAGUCUGGAAUAAAAUGGACAGAGUCUCAGUGACUGUGGGGUGUUUUGUUUUUUAAAGUAACAAUCAUAUCACUGUAGUCACAGAAGGAGAGCAGAAUGAGAGGAAGACUUAAAAAGUAUUCAAAGAAAUAAUAGCUGAA
Long non-coding RNA from Kogia breviceps (pygmy sperm whale), 1535 nucleotides. RefSeq lists it as uncharacterized. Lineage: Eukaryota; Metazoa; Chordata; Mammalia; Artiodactyla; Physeteridae. The record is from RefSeq and is a predicted model, not a curated record.